GCACUAAAAUUUAUAAAUUCUAUUUAAAAAGAACGUAUAAAAAUGAGGAAAGCAUUAACAAAAUUUACAAAAACAAAUAAGUGAUAUUGUCCUUUAUACUUUUGUAUAGAGAAGUUAGGAUCACCCGAAUCUAAUCUAAAAAAAUGUAUGUAGGAAUACUUGCUAGUUGCUAGGUUGGGAUACCCUCCCAAUACCCAACUGCCAAAACUAUUUAUGUCUUGGAUUGUGAGGGAUCACAUAAGUACAAUUCAAUGAUUGUGAAAAUUGAAUUUCAAGGGUUAUUUUCAUGCCAGUAGAGACGUUUUUUUAACCAAACCAUGCAUGGAUUGGGAGGGAAAAAUAGUUGGAAAAAUUGAAUUCACAAGUGUUGUGUUAUUGUCGAUGUCCAGAGAAAAAAGUUUUUACCGAUUUGCAAAUUGGGGUCCACGGAUCGGGGGCAAAACUCCCAUGGUGUUGCCUAUGAAAAUUUGGUCUCUUGACAUGGUAUUAGAAACCAACAUGAUAAUAGGUAUCAAAAGUCAACAUGAUAUGGUAUCAACGUCAAGUAUGACAAGACAUCAUGUGCUGCAUCCACACUUUUAAUCUAAAGGAUUCUCGUGUAAGGAGAUGUCUAUGUUAGAGUAUACAACAUAUCCUACUGUCUAGCUCAAAUAUAUUAUAUACUCCAACAUAUUUGUUUUUAUUAAUUUUGAACCAUUCACACAUCUACCUUUGCGAAACUGUCAGCCAAAAAAGCUCACUCGGCUUCCUGGUCGUGGAAGUGGACACCGAGUAGGCUUUUUCUUCUGGAAUCUGUGCAGCCUAUUUUCAAUACUUUAAUUUUGUAUUAUUUUUUAUCCUUAUUUUAAUUAACUUCUUAGAGGUUUAUUUAGGGGUUAAUGAGGAGCAUUUAGGUUUAGCCUCAUUUAGAGGAGCACAAGGAAAGGGAUUAAAAACCUCUUCUUCUUCUUCCUCCUUCAUCUUCCUCUCCAUUUGAAUACCAUUUUAAUUCUUGUGCCCAUUCUUAAGAGAAAGUAGAGUCUUAGUUGGGUGAUUUUGUGAUUCUUGAUCGUGCAGUGACGCUUACAGGUACGUACACGCAGUAAUAACCCUUAUAUGCAAUUUUCUUUAAGACAUUAUUGUUUAUUUUGAUAAUAUGCAUUGUCUUGAAACUGUGAAGUAUUAGUAAGUACACGCAGUAACUGAUUCUUGCAUGCAUCUUCAAUAUAUUUUCCUUGCGUGAUAAUAUUAUGCGAGCUAGGUUGAAUAUGAUUUGCUAUUUAAAUACUGUUAAGUUUGUGCUACAAGUGAAAAUCAGUUGUAAAGAUGGUAGAGAUUGAGUUCUGAUAUCGCAAGAGUAGAAUGUUGGAUUAUAUGAGAUGGAAUGGGAAUGAGUCCCUUAUUGAUGAGAUAUUAAGUUGGAUAUUACUGUGACUCCACUGGAUUGGUACCCCAGUUGGUUUAGUUCCCGGAGGCAUGGAUCAUCUAUAUAUGGUCGCUGUACGGGGGUAUGAUCAUACUUUGCCAUUGGGCGCCGGCAUGGCCGUCACCGUCCUUGGCUGAGGUGUUGCCAUGUGGGUCUUGCAAACCCCAAUAUGGUGGCCUCUAGUCACAAAAGAAGAUACGUGGAAUUAAGGAAGGAAUAGAAAAUGGUGAAGGCAUUGAGAAGUGCACAGAAAUGAGGAAUGGUUGGAGUAGAUUUUUAUACAUUGGAGUGUCCUUCUUCCCUCGUUUGUUGAAUUGAUUGUUGGUUGCAUAUAUAUAACUUGUUGCUGGAUACUGACGUGUACGUGUUUGUGUUUAUGUUUAAUUGUUGAUGACUUUCUAUGAUUGUCCUGCUAUGACGCAUUGGCCUUUGGUCUAAUGUCGAGCAGCAGGAGGAUUAUAGACUGGCUUAGCAGGUACUGGAGCUUUUUAUGUAUUGCAUUGCAUUUGGGAAGAGUGAUGAGCGCGAAGCAUAACUUGUGUCAUUACCCCUAUCUUUCGAUUUUGUAUCUCUUGUUAUCCUUUGUAAAUUUUGAUUGUAUAUGUUUUGUUAUGAGGCCUUGUGCCCUCCCACGUGCAUUUGUAUUUCCGCUGCGUAGUUUAUAACUCUGUAUGGUUUUGAGGAGUUAAGUCUUUUUAAAACGCAAACGUCGACACUGGAACCACGAUCCAUGCUUGGCAUGUUGAUUUGAGAAGCCGGCGACGAAUUAUUCCGCCGUGACAUAGCUUUGAUAGGCCAUUGGUGCCUUUACUUUAUUAGUUUUUGAAUUAACUUUUGUUUUCUACAAAGACGCACAAUUUUAAGGCAGAUGCUGCCAAAAUUUCCACUCACUCACCUUUUAAAAUUAAUAUUUAACGUUUAUAUAAAAACUCUUUUCCUUUUUUCUUUUAUGUAACACCCGAAUUUCCUCCCGUCCUUUACGGUUUUGGUUUCGUUAAGGGGUCGGAAAUUCAGGGGUGUUACAGGUGUUACCAGAGCCAGUGGUUCCUAUUUUCGACGCUUUGUGUCCUUAAAAUCGUUUAGAAAUUGCCUGAAGUUAGAAGUCAUUCGUGAGAGUUUGGGUAGAUAUGGGAUAGGUGCAUACAUUACAUAUUCAUGCAUAAUGAUUACCAUUGCAUGUGCAUAGAUUUAUAUAUAGUUUGUUUAGCUUGUUAUGAGAUUCAUUCUUAUGCGUGUUAUUAUUAUAAUUAAAAGUUAUGAUGGUGGUUUGAAUGAUGACAUGAUUUAACAAAUUAGUAGAAUUGAAUGAUGUAUUAUCAAGAAAUACUGAAAUUUUUGGAGUAUUUGGUUCAAGUCGAGUUGUAUUAUAAGUAGUCAUUAUGGAGAUAUGAAGUAUGAAUGAUGAAAUUCUAGAGAAGUUGGUUGCAUCGGGAACUUUCUCUUGCUUGUGAUGAUUUUAUGAAAUUUAGUCUUAUGUGUCUGAAUAUUUGUUCAUGCUAAUUGUUAACAUAAAGCUUAUGAGUUUUGAUAUUGAUUCUAUACAUGAACCCACUGUUUAUUUAUCUGCUUGAGCAUUCCAUUUGUCAAGUGCAUUCGUUCAUCAAAACAUAGAAGUGGUGAUCAUAAUUCUCUUUAAUAUGUUUAAUGACUGUGCAAGUACAAGCGUAAGUAGUUUGAACUAGAAUAAGGAUAAGAGCUAGAGUGUAAUAAGAAUUCGAUAUACUGUAAACGAAAGAAAGGGGUCUUGUAUGCAAUACCUUGUAAAUAAAGUUUUAGUCACCAGUUGAUGAAAAUAAUGCGGUCAUAGUUAAAGUAUAGAUGCGUUAAAACCUAAAUAUUAAGGAGAAGUUCAAGAGCAUGUUAAGAGUCAUAUCUGAAAAAAAUUCAACCCCCAAUUUCGAACCAUGAUCUAUAAGAGUAUUAUUGAUAUAUUCUUCAUAUAGUAAUGAGUUGAAGUCAGAGAUUGUUUUCAACGUCUCUAAGUGUUUAAAGAUAAUGCUAUAUCAGUUGAACUAAAUUAUCACAUUAGUAUUGUUGUUCAAACUAGGAUUGCCUUAAUAUUUUCAUUUGAAGUUAUAAUUCUUACUAGGUUGAGGCUCUUGACUCGUGUAAUUAGCUAUGGCAACAUUGGUGUCGAGUUUUAGUGUGGUAUAAUCAUGUCUACCAAUAAACGUUUUCACUCUCAUACGGUGAUUGAUACUGAUGCUUUAAAUUCGUUAAUGUAAUAUAUAUUUGUUAGUUCUAAACCCAACAUCCUAUGCUUGUAGUGAGAUCUUGAGAAUCAAAUUGAGAGUGAAAACGAUAGUUAACAUAUUAGCCUUAGUAAUCACUUUAUAUAUAUUUUGAUGAAUUAUAUACUAUAAGGGUCCCCUGUCAUUGAUUUUGAUUUUUGUAAGCAUCCAACUCGCAUCAAAAUGAAGAUAGUAUUUCAUGUUUGCCGAGUGAUAACGACCUUUAAAUCGCUAUUUGUUGUCAAAAAAAAAAAAAAAAAAAAAAAAAAAAAAAAAAAAAAGUUGAAGUGGUUCUUUGAAUAAAAUAAGGGUGAUUUUUUUUUUUUUCUUGAAGACAUAUGAGUUUGAGUAUCAAAGGAGAAAAAUAUCAUUCACAAGUCCUUUGUGUUUUGUAUUUCGUUGAGACAUGAUAUAUCAUUCAUACAUAAGCUAAUAGCUUUGUAUUAAAGUGGAUAGUUAAAGAAUAAUCAUCGUAAACAAAUUUGCAUGUUAGGGGCCUAAGGAUUGAUUCGAAGGAGCACUAUUGAGUUAAAGACAUUUUGUCUCAUUAAAUGCUUAUAUAGAGCGAUGAAUGUUUUAAUUGGAUGAUACUGCAAGGAAGAAUCGUGACGGCUUUAAAACGUAGCUGGAUAGAAUGAUAUUUAAAAUUAAAAAGGAAUCAGUGAUACUACAAUUUGUUUUCUCAUGGCCUUCUGGGCAGUUAUAAGACAUAAGGAUAAAAUAACCCGAUGAUGAGGUGGAUUAAGCGUCUUUGUGUACGUAAGAUACAGUUAAAUGUUUUAAGUAUUUUAGAGUAUCUCAUCGAUCACCAAUUUAAUAGUCUUGCCAGUGUAUUGAAAUGAUAAGACUUUGAUGAGAUUCUAAAUGAAGCUGACUUUACGCAAGUUAUUGUUUUAAUAAUGAUUGAUGUGAUAUGUGGUAAAUUAAGUUGGAGAGUUACUAAAGAUAAUGUGGUCCUAAUAAAAGUCAAGAGGUGUUUUAAACCUAAACAUUGAAGAAACGACAAAGAGUAUGCGAAUAAUUACAAUUGAGAGAUGAAUCGAGAUAAUGAAUUAUGCCUUAAACAAUUAUUAUACACAAUCAUUAUUAUGCGAUAAAGAGAGUUAAAUAAUAUUCGCAUUUGUGUUAAGAAGAGUUUUAAUUUGAUGUUACUAAAUCGUUGGAUCGGAAUAAGCAUUCGAUGAAAAGAGUUUUGAAAUUUUGACGCGUUUUAAUACAAACGAUUAUGUUAUAGUUGUUAGUUCUAAGUUUCGCAUCUUAGGUCGAAGGGUGAUUGAAUCCCACUUGUUACGAAGGAAUAAUUAUUGUAAUGCAUAAUCUCAAGCGUUGCGUUAUUUUGUUAACUUUGUGUUGUAAUUUAGUAUAGUGUUAGGAUUGUUAAUGUUGCAGUCAUAUGGUUGCGAUAACGGUCUUAUAGUUAGACGUAGUAUUGUGAUGGAAAUGUUGUGAUGUAGGUGGGAUAUUGUGAAAUUAGUGUUGAUAUCACAACUUUAUCAAACUGUAUGAUACAUGGUUGCUUUGCUACUGAUAUUGGAAAUUGCGAUGAUGUAGGUGUGUUCAUCAGUUAUUUUUUUUCAUCUUGCAUUUUUUUUUUAUGUAUACAUAAAAUGUCAUCUUUGUUGAUCAUCACUAUUAUUAUUACCCUGUUAGUACCAUUAGCACCGUCGUUAUAUACGUACAUGAUGCAUUACUUUAGUCAUAUAUAAGUUCAUGAUCUUAAUUGAUAUAAAUUCUAUACUUUCAACAUACCUAGUUGUAUGGUAAGUGAAUAGUUGAAAAAUGUCUUCAUGAUUGUAAAUCAUCCUCACAUUGUCGUCAUUAGAAUUUGAUAUUAUGAUGGAUAUAGGACGUUAUUGUUGAACAAUUACGAUAUAUGUAUUAGUAUCAUGGUUGUGAACGUAUAAUUAACUACGGUAACUUGCUAAAAAUGUGGUAUAUAUAAUUGGAUUAUAUACUUGAAACAUGUAUUAUGUUAUGAGUUAUUAAUUUGAGUUAUUAAUCUACUAAUCGAUUCUUGAUGUAUGAAUUAAAAUGUUAUAAAAUGAUUUGAUCAUAUAUGAUUAAUGAAAAGGGUAUUUCAUGUUAAGUAAAAGGUUAGGAUUAUGUUAUGAUAAGUAAAGUUAGCGAUGAAUCGAUUUGGGAGGUGAUAACCAAUCAGUUUUGUAAGAUUCAAGUAUCCUCAGGUCUAGGGUGUCUAAUUGUUAUACGAGUUAAGUGUUGAGUAACUUCGUGCACUUUACUUUUAGGACUUUGUUGUUUUGAUAUUUUACCCCCAUUCAUGGUUCAAAUUAUAAUAUUUAAACCUUCCGUACAUUUCAAGAUUAUCGCAAAGUCGACCUUAGGUGGUCACGUAGAAUUGAAAAAAAAAAAAAAAAAAAAAAAAAAAAAGUUGUUUGAGAAUUACAUUAGAUAACAGGACGUUUCGUGUUGUUACGAACUCAAGUGAUAUUUUUUUUUUAAAAA
Amaranthus tricolor (Joseph's coat) is the source of this 6099-nucleotide long non-coding RNA. RefSeq lists it as uncharacterized. The record is from RefSeq and is a predicted model, not a curated record. The transcript has 4 exons. Lineage: Eukaryota; Viridiplantae; Streptophyta; Magnoliopsida; Caryophyllales; Amaranthaceae.